Molecule: long non-coding RNA, 452 nt
Organism: Fukomys damarensis (Damara mole-rat)
Lineage: Eukaryota; Metazoa; Chordata; Mammalia; Rodentia; Bathyergidae
Exons: 5
Source: RefSeq, a predicted model, not a curated record
GGAGGAGGAAGCAGAGGAGGGAGCAGAACAGGCAGCAAAAACAGACCGACUGUCUGCCGCAAAAAUUAAAAGUUCACCUGCGGCUCCCCCACUAACGGCUGUUGAAUGGGAUCCUCUUCUGGGCUUGACCUUCGACCUGCUAGGUGAAAAGCCAGCUUCCUGAGGCCAGAAAGACCACAGGUUCAUAAGAGUCAGUCACUCGACGGAUGCGACCACAGAGAUCCCCGAGGACCACAGGACUCUUGGUUACAUACAACAGAAUCCAUUUAGAAAGGGAAAUGGUUAGGUGACUCAUCUCCAGCAGAACCACAGUGAGCCUGAAGGCUGCAUGGCCAGGAGCAACACCUGUCUCCCAGGUGCAAGGGAAUCUGAGGAGGCUGAACCAAAACAACCCAACUAUCCUUCAUCAGAUGAAUGGAUAAACAGCUACUACUUGGCCACACUGCGGAAGG